AUGAUCUCGCAGGCUCAGCUCACCUGGCUGUUAGUGCUCUGGAUUCAGGGCUCCAGUGGGCAGAUUGUGAUGACUCAGACUCCAGAAUCCCUGGCAGUGUCUCCUGGAGACAGAGUCACCAUCAACUGCAAAGCCAGUUCCAGCGUCACGGGUGGUAGCACUCAUUACAUAGCCUGGUACCAACAGAAAUCAGGACAAGCUCCAAAGCUCCUUAUCUACUAUGCUUCCACGCGUGCCACUGGGAUCCCAGACCGGUUCACAGGCAGUGGGUCUGGAACCGAUUUCACUCUCACAAUCAGCAACGUUCAAGCUGAAGAUUUUGGAGAUUAUUACUGUCAGCAAGGCUAUAGCUCACCUCUCACAGUGAUACAGACCACCUCCAUCAAGCUAAAACUGAGAAGUGUGGGUCCACCAAACAAGGGACAUAGACAUUAUGACAUUGACAAGCUAAAGUCCCCUGAAAUACAGAAAGCCUUCAUUCUGCAGCUAAAGAACAGGCAAAAUUUAAAAUGA
This is a non-coding RNA of Terrapene triunguis (Three-toed box turtle), 513 nucleotides long. NCBI's taxonomy places the organism in Eukaryota, Metazoa, Chordata, Testudines, Emydidae. The record is from the annotation of a RefSeq genome assembly.